AGCAAAUGCAUAUAGUAGUUCAUAUGAAGUCAGUACUUAAUUCUUCCACUCGAACUGAGUUCCAAAAAAUGAAAAGCAAAAGGGACUAAUAAUGCAGAGCACCAAGUUUAAUAGAGUAUUACAUUUUUAACCUACACCAGGAUAGAGCACUAAGAGAGAACAAAAAUUACAUUCAUCAACUGUGGUUCUGGGAGUAUCCAAAGCUUAGCGGUUGCUGACAGAAAGAAGGCUGAAAGAAGGCAUGUCUAACUUGAUCAUAUGAAUGUGCAUAAAUCAUGCUCUGGGUUGGCCACUGCAUGAAUACUCCAUCAUUGAGGGUCUGAUUGAAUCCCAUGGCAUGGUAUGGGCUAAGAACAGGGCUCCUGUAAUUUGGUGAAGCUUGAGCACUGGGCAGCUGACUCAUCUGAGGAAAAACAGCAUCGUAAUGUACAUAUGGAGGCUGAAACUUCUGCACAUCAAAAGGUGCCACGCUAAAGCACUGACCAGAUGGGACGCUCUUAACAUAUCUAACAUAAUUCCGGUCAUAAUCAGGGUCACUCAGCUCUUUCUCCCUGUCCCUAAAGAUGGCAACUCGGGAAGAAGUACCACCUUCUCUGUUGCUGAUGCUUUUCUCCAUAUCCAAGAGUAACCUGUUUGAAGAUUCAUUCUCAUCUAUGUUGUUCUUGAGGUCAGAAGCAACAUGAACCAAAUUGUCUCUAGUCUCAGAGUUAAUAGGACUAUUAAAAAUGCGUGCACGUGCCCUGUCAUACUCCUCUUUUCUCUCUUCCACAGUUCUUACUUGACUGCGUUUUGCACCCAAUUCACUAUCUUUCGAAGAGGUGUUACUCGGCCUUGGUUGUAUUACUAUUUUCAUCUUCUCGUAUUUGUCACUGUCAGAUUGUUUAGGUGGGACGUCCGAUAAACGCACAGCAGGGUAUUUGCUUUCAGGUUUUCUUGUCACCAGGAUUUUGGCUCCCUGACCAUCCACAACAUUAUCCUGAACCAUAGUCUGCAAACCAUAGUGUUGAGCAACACGGUGCGCAGCAAGACGAAGGUAGGAAGUCGGAAAAUGUGGGAACUCAAACUGUUGCACGUCGGAACUUUGCAAGAACUUCUGAAUGUCGAGUUCCAUUCUUAGAAUGGUAAGACGAUGACGUGGGUUUUGAAGGGCUUCAACCAAGAAAGGAUCCACCAUUGACAAAUAAGCAGAAGAACCCGAAUCCAUUGUUAAAAAGUAAAAAAAAAACUCCCUUAAAAAGAUAUGUAUAGAAGGAUGGGUAAUAUAUGUAUCCAAAAAUUGGAAUACAAAAGGGUUUUUUGUCGCUCUCUCUCUGUUUCUUUCCUUCUUUUUUCUUCAACCCCAAAAGGGAUAUGAAGAAGAAGAAGAAGAGAUUUUCUUUGAACAACUCUCUCUUUCUCUGUAGAGAAGAAAAAGAAGAGAGAAAUUGAGAAGAGAAAACCCUUAUUGGCUUCUUAUCC
This 1458-nucleotide unclassified non-coding RNA is filed under the name Hevea brasiliensis (rubber tree). Lineage: Eukaryota; Viridiplantae; Streptophyta; Magnoliopsida; Malpighiales; Euphorbiaceae. The record is from RNAcentral.